This 253-nucleotide ribosomal RNA is filed under the name uncultured bacterium. RNAcentral describes it as "partial 16S ribosomal RNA". It matches the Rfam family "Bacterial small subunit ribosomal RNA", at positions 524 to 776 of the family's 1533-position model. The record is from RNAcentral.
UACGUAGGGUGCGAGCGUUAAUCGGAAUUACUGGGCGUAAAGCGUGCGUAGGCGGUUCGUUAAGUCAGCUGUGAAAGCCCCGGGCUCAACCUGGGAACUGCGGUUGAAACUGGCGAACUAGAAUCUGGCAGAGGGGGGUGGAAUUCCACGUGUAGCAGUGAAAUGCGUAGAGAUGUGGAGGAACACCGAUGGCGAAGGCAGCCCCCUGGGCUGAGAUUGACGCUCAUGCACGAAAGCGUGGGGAGCAAACAGG